RNAcentral lists this ribosomal RNA (484 nucleotides) under uncultured bacterium. RNAcentral describes it as "partial 16S ribosomal RNA". It matches the Rfam family "Bacterial small subunit ribosomal RNA", at positions 28 to 507 of the family's 1533-position model. The record is from RNAcentral.
GUUGAACGCUGGCGGCAGGCCUAACACAUGCAAGUCGAGCGGAUGAAGGGUGCUUGCUCCUGGAUUCAGCGGCGGACGGGUGCGUAAUGCCUAGGAAUCUGCCUGGUAGUGGGGGAUAACGUCCGGAAACGGGCGCUAAUACCACAUACGUCCUGCGGGAGCAAGUGGGGGAUCUUCGGACCUCACGCUAUCAGAUGAGCCUAGGUCGGAUUAGCUAGUUGGUGGGGUAAAGUCCUACCAAGGCGACGAUCCGUAACUGGUCUGAGAGGAUGAUCAGUUACACUGGAACUGAGACACGGCCCAGACCACUACGGGAGGGAGCAGUGGGGAAUAUUGGACAAGGGGCGAAAGCCUGAUCCAGACAUGCCGCGUGUGUGAAGAAGGUCUUCGGAUUGUAAAGCUCUUUAAGUUGGGAGGAAGGGUAGUAAGUUAAUACCUUGCUGUUUUGACGGUACCAACAGAAUAAGCACCGGCUAACUUCGUG